This 218-nucleotide long non-coding RNA is filed under the name Elaeis guineensis (African oil palm). RNAcentral's name for it is "long non-coding RNA (EGUI_LNC056813)". Lineage: Eukaryota; Viridiplantae; Streptophyta; Magnoliopsida; Arecales; Arecaceae. The record is from RNAcentral.
ACUGCAAAGGCUUUCAACAACAUUAUGUUGUUUGAUAAAUAGACAAUAAAAACAGAUGAUCAAUAGUUUCUGAAGAAUUACCAUUAAAUGCACAAUCCGAAUUAGAGCUGCAAAUCCCAUCAAAACUUCAGAAUUAUAAGGUGAGAGUUAGAACAAAUGAACCUCCGCUGAUGUUCAGUAUCUAUCGGUUGAGUGGUUGAGUUAGUAGAUUGUUCCUC